RNAcentral lists this ribosomal RNA (690 nucleotides) under uncultured Oscillospiraceae bacterium. Its description in RNAcentral is "bacterial SSU rRNA". It matches the Rfam family "Bacterial small subunit ribosomal RNA", at positions 9 to 714 of the family's 1533-position model. The record is from RNAcentral. Lineage: Bacteria; Bacillati; Bacillota; Clostridia; Eubacteriales; Oscillospiraceae.
GAGUUUGAUCAUGGCUCAGGACGAACGCUGGCGGCGUGCCUAACACAUGCAAGUCGAACGAAACUUUUUGCUUCGGUAGAAAGUUUAGUGGCGGACGGGUGAGUAACGCGUGAGGAACCUGCCUUUCAGAGGGGGAUAAUGUCUGGAAACGGACACUAAUACCGCAUGACAUUUUCUGUUCACAUGGACAGAAAAUCAAAGGAGCAAUCUGCUGAAAGAUGGACUCGCGUCCGAUUAGCUAGAUGGUGAGAUAAUAGCCCACCAUGGCGACGAUCGGUAGCCGGACUGAGAGGUUGAACGGCCACAUUGGGACUGAGACACGGCCCAGACUCCUACGGGAGGCAGCAGUGGGGGAUAUUGCACAAUGGAGGAAACUCUGAUGCAGCAACGCCGCGUGAAGGAAGACGGUCUUCGGAUUGUAAACUUUUGUACCUAGGGACGAUAAUGACGGUACCUAGGCAGCAAGCUCCGGCUAACUACGUGCCAGCAGCCGCGGUAAUACGUAGGGAGCGAGCGUUGUCCGGAUUUACUGGGUGUAAAGGGUGCGUAGGCGGCCAAGCAAGUCAGCUGUGAAAACUAUGGGCUUAACCCAUAGCCUGCAAUUGAAACUGUUUGGCUUGAGUGAAGUAGAGGUAGGUGGAAUUCCCGGUGUAGCGGUGAAAUGCGUAGAGAUCGGGAGGAACACCAGUG